CCUACGGGUGGCAGCAGUGGGGAAUAUUGGACAAUGGGCGAAAGCCUGAUCCAGCCAUGCCGCGUGUGUGAAGAAGGCCUUCGGGUUGUAAAGCACUUUCAGUGGGGAAGAAAGCCUUGGGGCUAAUACCCUCGAGGAAGGACAUCACCCACAGAAGAAGCACCGGCUAACUCCGUGCCAGCAGCCGCGGUAAUACGGAGGGUGCGAGCGUUAAUCGGAAUUACUGGCGUAAAGCGCGCGUAGGCGGUCUGAUAAGCCGGUUGUGAAAGCCCCGGGCUCAACCUGGGAACGGCAUCCGGAACUGUCAGGCUAGAGUGCAGGAGAGGAAGGUAGAAUUCCCGGUGUAGCGGUGAAAUGCGUAGAGAUCGGGAGGAAUACCAGUGGCGAAGGCGGCCUUCUGGACUGACACUGACGCUGAGGUGCGAAAGCGUGGGUAGCAAACAGGAUUAGAUACCCCUGUAGUC
This 464-nucleotide ribosomal RNA is filed under the name Vreelandella stevensii. RNAcentral describes it as "partial 16S ribosomal RNA". It matches the Rfam family "Bacterial small subunit ribosomal RNA", at positions 338 to 795 of the family's 1533-position model. The record is from RNAcentral. Lineage: Bacteria; Pseudomonadati; Pseudomonadota; Gammaproteobacteria; Oceanospirillales; Halomonadaceae.